This 373-nucleotide ribosomal RNA is filed under the name uncultured Glomeromycotina. RNAcentral's name for it is "LSU rRNA". Lineage: Eukaryota; Fungi; Glomeromycota. The record is from RNAcentral.
UUGAAAGGGAAACGAUUGAAGUCAGUCGUACCUGUGGGUAAUCAGCCUUUUGGGUGUGAUUUUGUGGAGUGUGAGGAGUUAAACGCCUUCAUGCCUGCAUAUUCGUGCACUUUGGGUGUAUUUACCCGUGUGGUAAGUUAACAUCAAUUUCGGUGGUCAUAAAAUGGCUGGAGGAAUGUAGCUUCGAUCUUGUAUUGAAGUGUUAUAGCCUUCGGUAGAUGUGAUAAUCGGGAUUGAGGAUUGCAACGGAUACCCCUCGGGGCUACCUGUCUGAUCUCUGAUCGUUGCUCUGGUGCCGAAAGCUUGCUUACGGUUANCAAAGUCGAUGGUCAAUAGGUUAGAACGGGUUAAAUUCGUUAAGGAUGUUGACGUA